Chelonia mydas (Green sea turtle) is the source of this 45-nucleotide non-coding RNA. The record is from Rfam. NCBI's taxonomy places the organism in Eukaryota, Metazoa, Chordata, Testudines, Cheloniidae.
AAUAUGGCUUCUUUAUAAGCCACAUACAUUAUCUUCACAGUUAUA